UGAGGAAUAUUGGUCAAUGGGGGCAACCCUGAACCAGCCAAGUCGCGUGAAGGAUGAUGGUCUUAUGGAUUGUAAACUUCUUUUACACGGGAAUAAAGUGGGGGACGUGUCCCCCUUUGCAUGUACCGUGUGAAUAAGGAUCGGCUAACCCCGUGCCAGCAGCCGCGGUAAUACGGAGGAUCCGAGCGUUCUCCGGAUUUAUUGGGUUUAAAGGGUGCGCAGGCGGGAUGUUAAGUCGGCGGUGAAAUUUUGCAGCUCAACUGUAAAAGUGCCUUCGAUACUGGCCUCCUUGAGUGUGGAUGGAGUAGGCGGAAUUUGUGGUGUAGCGGUGAAAUGCUUAGAUAUCACGAGGAACUCCGAUUGCGCAGGCAGCUUACUAUGCCACAACUGACGCUCAUGCACGAAGGCGUGGGGAUCAAAC
This 421-nucleotide ribosomal RNA is filed under the name uncultured bacterium. RNAcentral's name for it is "bacterial SSU rRNA". It matches the Rfam family "Bacterial small subunit ribosomal RNA", at positions 355 to 773 of the family's 1533-position model. The record is from RNAcentral.